CAAAUGACUCCGAAACAGGUACA
Molecule: non-coding RNA, 23 nt
Filed under: Arabidopsis thaliana (thale cress)
Lineage: Eukaryota; Viridiplantae; Streptophyta; Magnoliopsida; Brassicales; Brassicaceae
Source: RNAcentral